GGCUCUGUGGCGCAAUGGAUAGCAUAUUGGACUUCCAGACUGUGAGCUGAGCCAUUCAAAGUUUGUGGGUUCGAGUCCCAUCAGAGUCG
Molecule: transfer RNA, 89 nt
Filed under: Danio rerio (zebrafish)
Lineage: Eukaryota; Metazoa; Chordata; Actinopteri; Cypriniformes; Danionidae
Rfam family: tRNA
About the family: Transfer RNA (tRNA) molecules are approximately 80 nucleotides in length.
Source: Rfam by way of RNAcentral